This 427-nucleotide ribosomal RNA is filed under the name uncultured bacterium. RNAcentral describes it as "partial 16S ribosomal RNA". It matches the Rfam family "Bacterial small subunit ribosomal RNA", at positions 355 to 774 of the family's 1533-position model. The record is from RNAcentral.
UGGGGAAUAUUUCACAAUGGGCGCAAGCCUGAUGCAGCCAUGCCGCGUGUAUGAAGAAGGCCUUCGGGUUGUAAAGUACUUUCAGCGAGGAGGAAGGCGUUGUGGUUAAUAACCGCAGCGAUUGACGUUACUCGCAGAAGAAGCACCGGCUAACUCCGUGCCAGCAGCCGCGGUAAUACGGAGGGUGCAAGCGUUAAUCGGAAUUACUGGGUGUAAAGCGCACGCAGGCGGUCUGUCAAGUCGGAUGUGAAAUCCCCGGGCUCAACCUGGGAACUGCAUCCGAAACUGGCAGGCUAGAGUCUUGUAGAGGGGGGUAGAAUUCCAGGUGUAGCGGUGAAAUGCGUAGAGAUCUGGAGGAAUACCGGUGGCGAAGGCGGCCCCCUGGACAAAGACUGACGCUCAGGUGCGAAAGCGUGGGGAGCAAACA